RNAcentral lists this ribosomal RNA (292 nucleotides) under uncultured bacterium. Its description in RNAcentral is "partial 16S ribosomal RNA". It matches the Rfam family "Bacterial small subunit ribosomal RNA", at positions 505 to 796 of the family's 1533-position model. The record is from RNAcentral.
GUGCCAGCAGCCGCGGUAAUACGAAGGGGGCUAGCGUUGUUCGGAAUUACUGGGCGUAAAGGGCGCGUAGGCGGUCUGAUAAGUUAGAUGUGAAAUUCCCGGGCUUAACCUGGGGGCUGCAUUUGAUACUGUCAGGCUUGAAUCCAGGAGAGGAUAGUGGAAUUCCCAGUGUAGAGGUGAAAUUCGUAGAUAUUGGGAAGAACACCAGUGGCGAAGGCGGCUAUCUGGACUGGUAUUGACGCUGAGGCGCGAAAGCGUGGGGAGCAAACAGGAUUAGAUACCCUGGUAGUCC